Molecule: long non-coding RNA, 3560 nt
Organism: Andrographis paniculata
Lineage: Eukaryota; Viridiplantae; Streptophyta; Magnoliopsida; Lamiales; Acanthaceae
Exons: 4
Source: RefSeq, a predicted model, not a curated record
GGACUUUUCCUGGUGUAUUUUAUUGGGGGAAAAUAAAAAGAAGGGAUAUAUAGGAUGUGGGAAUGUUGGAAUCGGACAAGCAAGCAAUGAAGCAUGGUGCGAGGCCUUGCACCGAGAUUGGCAAAAGGAGAGAGAUUUUUUUGUUCGACUUUUAGAUUUGGAUCAAACCAUUUGGCAUUUCGCUUCCAUUUUCGGUUGUUUAUAAGCUUGUCUCUGUGUGUUUUGAACUAGAUCUCUCUAUAAGGAUUGUCUGAGCGACAAGUUCACAGUCACCACUUGAUCUGACACUGAAAUUGAAAGAUUGUGAUAUUUAGUUUUUGUGAUUUCAAAUAUAAACGUUUUUUGAAGUGCUUAUAAACCUGUGCCCUCUGAUCUUUGUAUCAAAUGGGCGAGUAUUCAAUGGUUUCAUCGUUGUUUGAACAAAGAGGGGUUUUCUGAUAUUCGGUUCCAAUCUGGCAUAUUUUGGGGAUCAAUUUGAGGCGGUGAAUGAAGAGGAGAGUACCGGGGGUUGACUCAUAAUAUCUUGUUAUUCAAUACGCAUUCUGUGUUAAUUGCUUUCAAAUUCGACAGGCUAGCUGGUUUCCCUGCUGAAGAUUUCCUUUCUUUAAGCGCUGAUUGGGGCUGUUGUAUCGCCUACUUCACUCUGCCUGUUCAAAAAAUUGAAUUUAAUUCCUCACUUGUUUUGCUUAUUAUUAUUUUCACUUGUUGGGGAGGAUUUCUUAGGUGCGUUUGAUUUGUUUUUUGUUACUCUGCAUUUACCCAAUUUUGGCUAUCAUUGUCUUAUCAAACAAAGGUAGAUACUACUAGGAGUCUAGGAGCCCUUUUUUGUCAGCUUUUGAGCCACUCAUUUUGUCCUGACAUGUUUCUUUUUUUCAAUAUAUUCAUCAUGGCAUCAACCUAUUUGCCUGAGGGCUAACUGCAUACCCUUUAGGCCCCAUGUCCAAAAUAUUUGCAUGUUUUGUAUGUUGCCUACUCUGAUAUAUAUGUGGUUUUUCUGUGCACCUAAACCAAAAUUUGUUCAACUAGAUGGAUCUGUAAGUCAUGGUGUGUCUACAUGGGCAUCUGGUGUUGAUUGAAUUCCUGCUAUCAUCUUUCUUUGCUUGUGUUAACUGUUGCAUUCAAACUUCAUCAUUUCCUUUUCCUUUUGUUACUAUUUGUACUUCUCAUUUUGUGUCUUUGCAUAAAGUGGCCGUCACCAUAAAUUUGGGGGCGUAUUUCUAAUUAUAUAGGACUUGAUUAUACUUACGGGUUUGUCAUUAUCAUGUAUUCACAUUAUUGUGUUUUUCUCGAUAAGACAACUGGAUUAAGAAAUUUGCUUAUUGGCCGUUUACGGAGCACAUUGCCUAUCUUAAUGGGGUCAUGCUUUCAGGUGACUUUAUUAUUAGGGGAAUUCAUAAUAAUUGAUGUUCUUGGUUUUAGUUUUAUUUGUUUCACAACUGAGGAAACCCGUUUGGGGCAUGUCAGGCUAUCUAAUCAUUUUUUUUUUUCAAUCAUAUGUCAUUUAAACUCACAGAGCUUUAGCUUUUUGGCUAAUGGCUGAUGCUUUAAUAAGCCUUUGUGCAUUUCAUUGUUGUUUCACUUUUGCCAUAGUUCUAAGUUCUCUCUGCUUCACCGGAUGGAAUACAAAUAGUUGGACAAGUUGUGUGAUGUUCUUUUGGAUGCUCCUUUUGUUGCACUUCAAUGCAUAGCCAUUAUUUUUUUCUAUUUCUCUUCCUAUGAUUAUCUGUUCUAGUAGCCUAUGACAUGCUCCUCUUGUAUGGGUUUGUUAUAGUUAUACGCACUUGAGUGAUUUCCUUGUACAAGGUUCCCUGCAGUUUUUACUAUGAAUACCUUGCAUAUUAUCAUAUGAACUAUCAGUCUGACAUGUAUGAGGACUUCUGAAUUCACGUUGAGAUUUUCCCAAUCUCUGGAUCAUUUUUUAUUUUUUUCACCCUUAACUAAAUACAAAGUGAAGAAGAAAAGAGAAAUCUUGCUCUUUUAGUAGUUAAUAAUCAUAGUGAUUAGUGAAUUUCAAUGCUGCCAUACUCCUGAACAUCUGGUAUUAUUUGAUGCAUUUACCAAGCUCGUUUUGUACUGUUCAAGAUUGCUGGGGUCGGGUGAGGCAGAACUGAGCAUGCCUUUGAUGUAGAGAGUUGGUUUCCAACUUCUGGGGAAACAAUUAUAUUCUGAAGCCCAGGUCAAGAAAACUAUGGAGUCCUUUGGAGAGGCGGAGAGGAUAUGAAAAGAGAGCUCGAUCAUAUAUGGUUAGAUUAUCUCAUCUUUCUCUCUCUUUCUAUUCUCCAUGGUGGUUCUACUCUUUCUGAAAUAUGCUUUUAAAAAAAGCUAGUUUAGUUACUUUGCCGAUUAAUAAUGGGCCAAUGAUAAUUUUUUAGGCUUAAAUCCAAAACCAAUAUUUGUGUCUCGAGCCCAAUAUUCAUGUGACCAUUUACUGGUCUAGCCAGUGCCACCAUCCACCGUUAGAUCUUAGGGUUUAUCUGAGCCAUUGGAUUCAACAUUAACCUAAGUAUAUAUAGUGGGUGCCUGUAUGCGCCUCCACCAUAAUACGCAAAAUCUCUUUCUAGAAAAGGGUUUUCCCAUACUCCUCUCUCCACCCCCAUUCCUUUACUUUAUUCUUCUCUCGCGAUUGUGAGGUUUAAGGCUGUUUCGUUCUCCUUCCUCCUGACUCCGUGGAGGCAUUGGAGUUCCACCGAGUUUCACGGCAAGUCAACUGCUUGGUGUUGUUGCCGCCGUGAGACUGUAGCAUCAAAAUAUUGGGCUGCAUGAAAGUGGGCCAAAAGUGGAAUCUGAGAAGCAGCACGUGGGCGGAUGGGGCUGAUGAGCAUGCAUGUGGCAUUGUCGGCUCAAGACCGAUUGCACUGCACGAUACCCUUCUGUAUGGGCUCAGCCAUUGUCAAUAAAAUUGGGCUAUGUUGAACUGGGCUCAGAUUGUCCUGUUUUAUAGGCCUUUCUGUUAUAUUAAGCCCAAGCAGUCAACAUUAAAGCCUGUCCGAUUGUGGAAAACAGCACGUGGAAGUCGUUUGACCUUGACACACGUACACGUGGUCUGCUCAGGACCGGCAGUAGUAGGCUUAGCUGUUGUAUAAUAUAGGGACAAACAGGUUGAAUCACCAAAAGAUAUGGACCUGAUACACUGAACAGCAGGUGGUCAUGUCUGAUUUCGGAUACACAUGGAUAUGUCCGAAGUUGUUGGACAAACACCUGGCCUUUUUGGCACAUGACUCACAGCAGGCCAUCUAUCAUCUAUGGGUUCUUUUGUUAAUAAUGUGGAGCUGAUAGAGCCCAAAACCAAAAUACUUGGGCCUCAGUGGCGUGCCCAGCAAAACAAUGCGACUGUUUAGCGAUUUGCAGACCUGUCUGCUUUUUUGGAGACAGUACGUGCAACAGUUGGACAGGUCUACAACACAAACAUGACUUUGUCGGCUCUAAUAUGGGCUGUGAUAUGGGCCUGACUGUUAAAAUAUGGGCCCAGCAACAGAUGCUGUCAAUAAAUUGGGCUUGGUAGCCCUAAAACAUAAUACUAUAUUGGGCUUUAGUUGUUUGCCUGCUUUAAGGAGACAACA